ACAUCAUACUUCAAGUUGUUACUUCCUACGUUGGUGUCCAUGCUGUGUUGAACUGUUAGGCAUAUUUUAUCGUCGAUAUGUCGUCUCUUGCUACCUGUACCUGCGUUGAGAUCUGCAAACACGAGGUUAUGAAUUUCGUUUUGGGGUCAAUGGAGUUGGCGGUGGUUGCCGUUACUGGCCUUUUGCGACGUCUUGAUAUCAGUUUGAAAUAAUAGUUCUGAACUCUGGGGAAUCCUCACUCAUACUCGAGUCAACCUGCAGACAGGUCGGCCAGUUUGUUUCAGUAUGUUUCUGGAUGUGCUUCACGCUUGAAGGUCAAGGGAAAGACAUAACGUAAAACUGGCAUGCGGUGGUGUAGAGGUUGGGUGAGAAUGACACGUGUUUCAACAU
Daphnia pulex (common water flea) is the source of this 390-nucleotide long non-coding RNA. RefSeq lists it as uncharacterized. The transcript has 3 exons. The record is from RefSeq and is a predicted model, not a curated record. Lineage: Eukaryota; Metazoa; Arthropoda; Branchiopoda; Diplostraca; Daphniidae.